Small nuclear RNA from Procavia capensis (Cape rock hyrax), 108 nucleotides. NCBI's taxonomy places the organism in Eukaryota, Metazoa, Chordata, Mammalia, Hyracoidea, Procaviidae. The record is from Ensembl.
GUGCUUGCUUCAGCAUCACAUAUACUAAAAUUGGAACAAUACAAGGAGGAUUAGUAUGGCCCUUGUGCAAGAAUUCAACAGCAUAUUAAAAACACAUGGUGAGUGGCA